CCUACGGGGUGCUGCAGUUGAGAAUCAUUCACAAUGGGGGAAACCCUGAUGGUGCGACGCCGCGUGGGGGAAUGAAGUUCUUCGGAUUGUAAACCCCUGUCAUGUGGGAGCAAAUUAAAAAGAUCGUACCACACGAGGAAGAGACGGCUAACUCUGUGCCAGCAGCCGCGGUAAUACAGAGGUCUCAAGCGUUGUUCGGAAUCACUGGGCGUAAAGCGUGCGUAGGCUGUUUCGUAAGUCGUGUGUGAAAGGCGCGGGCUCAACCCGCGGACGGCACAUGAUACUGCGAGACUAGAGUAAUGGAGGGGGAACCGGAAUUCUCGGUGUAGCAGUGAAAUGCGUAGAUAUCGAGAGGAACACUCGGGGCGAAGGCGGGUUCCUGGACAGUAACUGACGCUGAGGCACGAAGGCCAGGGGAGCGAAAGGGAUUAGAUACCCGGGUAGUC
Molecule: ribosomal RNA, 446 nt
Filed under: uncultured bacterium
Lineage: Bacteria
Description: partial 16S ribosomal RNA
Rfam family: Bacterial small subunit ribosomal RNA
Source: RNAcentral